Molecule: ribosomal RNA, 360 nt
Filed under: uncultured bacterium
Lineage: Bacteria
Description: partial 16S ribosomal RNA
Rfam family: Bacterial small subunit ribosomal RNA
Source: RNAcentral
CCUACGGGGGGCUGCAGUCGAGAAUCAUUCACAAUGGGGGAAACCCUGAUGGUGCGACGCCGCGUGGGGGAAUGAAGGUCUUCGGAUUGUAAACCCCUGUCAUGUGGGAGCAAAUUAAAAAGAUAGUACCACAAGAGGAAGAGACGGCUAACUCUGGGCCAGCAGCCGCGGUAAUACAGAGGUCUCAAGCGUUGUUCGGAAUCACUGGGCGUAAAGCGUGCGUAGGCUGUUUCGUAAGUCGUGUGUGAAAGGCGCGGGCUCAACCCGCGGACGGCACAUGAUACUGCGAGACUAGAGUAAUGGAGAGGGAAGCGGAAUUCGCGGUGUAGCAGUGAAAUGCGUAGAUAUCGAGAAGAACAC